This is a long non-coding RNA of Octopus sinensis (East Asian common octopus), 137 nucleotides long. RefSeq lists it as uncharacterized. Lineage: Eukaryota; Metazoa; Mollusca; Cephalopoda; Octopoda; Octopodidae. The record is from RefSeq and is a predicted model, not a curated record. The transcript is spliced from 3 exons.
UCCUUCUCUCCGUUUAACCGUGAAACCGCCCAGGGGUAAACGGGUAGGACCGCUCACCGCGGUCGCGAGGGGACUCAGUCCGCUGCUUCACGCCGAGGCGCCGUCGUCGUCGACGAACGCGCCGGUGGCGGCCGCUC